Molecule: long non-coding RNA, 1638 nt
Filed under: Felis catus (domestic cat)
Lineage: Eukaryota; Metazoa; Chordata; Mammalia; Carnivora; Felidae
Description: lncRNA (ENSFCAG00000051647.1)
Source: RNAcentral
CCGGCGCGCGGCGAGGCGCCGCGCGGCCUGAACUCUUUUUGUUCGGUUGCUUUGGAUUUUACAAAAAGCCCAGAAACUUUCGAACAAAACCAAACACCCGGAUGACCCUCUCUGGCGAGCGGCGAAGACGGCCGAUAGGCUGCGUCGCCCGAGCCCCGGGAGAGAGGAGCCGGAGAUCCGAAACGCGCCAACUCACCGGGCAUCCUGCCCGCCGCCUGCUCCCCGCCCCCAUCCCCUCGACGACCCCCGCCCCUGCCCCCCCGGGCUGUUCGGGGCCGGAUCCCGGCAGCGGCCUCCCCACAGCGACAGCUGCGAUUCGGUUCCCGGCCACGCGGGAGGGGUCUGCGCUCCCACAACAUAGUCCAUGGGAAGAGGCUUCUGCCCCGCUGCAGACUGACCGCUGCACAGCAGGGCCCCCGCUCCCCGCGGGGCCCUGCCCUCCUGGCCACAAACAAACGAAACUUGACAAAGUUGGAGAUAUUUUUGGACCAGCUGUAGAAAUAAGCCGUUCCCUGAGAACCUUCUGCCUGAUUCCCUGCAGCUUCCGCCUGCUCCCUUUCCAGCCCCACCUGGGAUGCGGGAUGCUGGGCGGCCAGGAGAGAAAUCCCCAAGUUUGGGGUGAGGUGGGAACCAUGUAAAUAUGUGAGAUAUGUACACACUGGCGGGGAGAAGAAACAUUUUGUGCUUGGUUUUUAUUUUUGGUUUUCCGGGUUGCCCUCCAUCCCCAUCCUAAAGGAUUUUGUACACCGAAUAAUCCGAAAAAAAAAAAUAUUUUAAUAUGAUUUCCAAAUUUCUGACCCAUCUCUAUUUAUUUUCUGGAUGUGUUUGGAGCUUCCCCCCUUCUCCAUUUCUUGUUCUGUUUGUUACAGUUUGGAUUUAAAUUUUGUUAUUUUAUUUUUAUUAUUUUUUGGAACAAUGUUUUGGUGCAUUCUUUGUAUCUUUAUUGCAAAAAAAAAAUAAUGUAGACUGGGAAGUUCCCUUUAUAUUUAUGUUAUAGUAAAUAUUUUAUUACUCACAUAAACAUGUACCCCAGGGCUGUGUCCUGUCCUUUUUACUACGAGGGUUGGGUUGGUUUGCGGGUAAAGCGUUGGGAUACCCUAGCUAACCUCUCCUAAAGUUCUGGCCACACUAUCUUGGAGCAAGGUGACCAUGCAGACCUUCUUUCAGGCCAGUAUGAGGACUGCCUGUUACUUGGGCAACAGUUGGGCCCCUGCCUUUAGGCGAGUGAGUUUUAGGGAAGAUGAAGCUGCCUCGUGUCCCCUCCCGUAAACAAGACUAUCCUGAGACCAGACCAGGACCUACGACACUGCAGACACCACACUGAUUUCGGGACAGCCGUUCCCCAGGCACAACUGCUUCUCAGCCAAGGAAGAAUUGCCUGUCUCACGUGGACCACCAGCCUGGCAUCUUUGUGUUCCCCACCCAAGACCCCAGACCCUGACUUUGGUCUGUCUCCCUUUGCGUUCCGUGUGUGGCAUCCAGGCCAGCUUUACUCUCCCAGGUCAUGGGGCAGUCGGAAGCAGGGUCAGGCCCCACCAGCCCACCCCAGCUGGCUCUCCACCCACAGAACAAAUGGUGCCUGCACCUACCUGGAUCCACUGGGAGUUCUAACAGCUUCCACAGUGGUCCUGCGGGAAU